CUCUCCAGGUGCCCUUUGCACCCAACAGUGCGUGUGAGGAACGAACUGCUGUUUGAGCGUCCCCUGAGAUUGUGCGUAGCCCCGUGUAAAUGUAAUAGCCUCCAUGGCUUAAUUGGCUAGCAAGCGAAUUUUCCCAGAUGAAAGCAAUGUUGGGUUAGGGGACGACGGUGCAGCCACCCAGCCUUUACCAGCAGCGUGCUGCAGACGAAGGCAGUCAAGGUGUGGAGGUGAUCACGCAGGCGCAGGUCAGUUGCCGUGAUGCUCCUUGAGUCAAUGAGCUCUUUGGUCUGCUCUUCUGCUCAAGCAGAAAAUGAUCUGCGCUUCACCCUUGAGAAGCUGACAAGAACCACAGGCUUCUUCAGGCUCUAGCCUGAUUUUCUGGCUCAUAAGGCCAAAGGGAGCUGGAAAGGUCCCCACGGCAGGACUCAUGGUGGAGAGAGAAUGAUCUAGAGGAUUCAGGCCUCUGCACACUGUGUCUGGGUCCCUCCUUAAAGAAUGAUAAAGACAAGUAAAGAGCUUGAAGCAGCCUGGAGUCCAGCCAGAAACCUUUAACUGAGCUUUAAAGGAGAUGGUCACAACACUUUUCAGAAUACUGGCAAAGGCCUCCUGUGGCCAAGUUUGUCCUGGGAUGAGCAAAAUUUAAUGUUAACCUGCUGUAUCUUUGCUUUUAAUAUAUCUGCUUGCCCAUCACAAUGAUAUUAUGGUUAAUUUCACCAAUUUGGUAACCUGCCUCUUGGGAAGUACGAAAGUAAGCAAGGGCCAGGUAUGGUGACUCACGCCUGUAAUCCCAGUACUUUGGGUGGCUGAGGUGGGUGGAUUGCUUGAGCCCAGGAGUUCAAGACCAACCUGGGCACCAUGACAAAACCCCGUCUCUACAAAAUAUACAAAAAUUAACCAGGAGUGGCAGUGCAUGGCUGUAAUCCCAGCUACUCGGAGGCUGAGGUGGGAGAAUCUCUUGAGCCUGGGAGGCAGAGGUUGCAGUGAGCUGAGAUCACACCACUGCAUUCCAGCCUGGGCAAUGAAGUGAGACCCUGUCUCAAAAAAAAAAAAAAAAAAAAAAAAAGAGAAAG
RNAcentral lists this long non-coding RNA (1070 nucleotides) under Homo sapiens (human). RNAcentral describes it as "family with sequence similarity 245 member B". Lineage: Eukaryota; Metazoa; Chordata; Mammalia; Primates; Hominidae. The record is from RNAcentral.